This 468-nucleotide ribosomal RNA is filed under the name uncultured bacterium. RNAcentral's name for it is "partial 16S ribosomal RNA". It matches the Rfam family "Bacterial small subunit ribosomal RNA", at positions 28 to 507 of the family's 1533-position model. The record is from RNAcentral.
GACGAACGCUGGCGGCGUGCUUAACACAUGCAAGUCGAACGGAAAGGCCCUGCUUUUGUGGGGUGCUCGAGUGGCGAACGGGUGAGUAACUCGUGAGUAACCUGCCCUUGACUUUGGGAUAACUUCAGGAAACUGGGGCUAAUACCGGAUAGGAGCUCCUGCUGCAUGGUGGGGGUUGGAAAGUUUCGGCGGUUGGGGAUGGACUCGCGGCUUAUCAGCUUGUUGGUGGGGUAGUGGCUUACCAAGGCUUUGACGGGUAGCCGGCCUGAGAGGGUGACCGGCCACAUUGGGACUGAGAUACGGCCCAGACUCCUACGGGAGGCAGCAGUGGGGAAUAUUGCACAAUGGGCGGAAGCCUGAUGCAGCAACGCCGCGUGCGGGAUGACGGCCUUCGGGUUGUAAACCGCUUUCGCCUGUGACGAAGCGUGAGUGGCGGUAAUGGGUAAAGAAGCACCGGCUAACUACGUG